Molecule: small nuclear RNA, 23 nt
Filed under: Arabidopsis thaliana (thale cress)
Lineage: Eukaryota; Viridiplantae; Streptophyta; Magnoliopsida; Brassicales; Brassicaceae
Description: snRNA_07205
Source: RNAcentral
CAAAAGUUGGAACAAUUUAUCUA